GCUUGUCUCAAAGAUUAAGCCAUGCAUGUCUAAGUAUAAGUAUUAUACAGCGAAACUGCGAAUGGCUCAUUAAAACAGUUAUAGUUUACAUGAUAAUCGAAUUUACAUGGAUAACCGUGGUAAUUCUAGAGCUAAUACAUGCUGGCGUGCCCGACUUUUGCGGAAGGGCGGUAUUUAUUAGAUAACAGACCAGCAGCUUCGGCUAUUGUGGUGAAUCAUAGUAACUAAUCGGAUCGCAUGGGCUAGUCCCGCGACAAACCAUUCAAGUUUCUGCCCCAUCAGCUUUCGACGGUAGUGUAUUGGACUACCGUGGCUUUUACGGGUAACGGAGGAUUAGGGUUCGAUUCCGGAGAGGGAGCCUGAGAAACGGCUACCACAUCUAAGGAAGGCAGCAGG
RNAcentral lists this ribosomal RNA (396 nucleotides) under uncultured Strobilidiidae. RNAcentral's name for it is "partial small subunit ribosomal RNA". It matches the Rfam family "Eukaryotic small subunit ribosomal RNA", at positions 30 to 432 of the family's 1831-position model. The record is from RNAcentral. Lineage: Eukaryota; Ciliophora; Spirotrichea; Choreotrichida; Strobilidiidae.